RNAcentral lists this ribosomal RNA (254 nucleotides) under uncultured bacterium. Its description in RNAcentral is "partial 16S ribosomal RNA". It matches the Rfam family "Bacterial small subunit ribosomal RNA", at positions 524 to 776 of the family's 1533-position model. The record is from RNAcentral.
UACGUAGGGUCCGAGCGUUGUCCGGAAUUAUUGGGCGUAAAGGGCUCGUAGGCGGUUUGUCGCGUCGGGAGUGAAAACACCGGGCUUAACUCGGUGCUUGCUUUCGAUACGGGCAGACUAGAGGCAUUCAGGGGAGAACGGAAGUUCCUGGUGUAGCGGUGAAAUGCGCAGAUAUCAGGAGGAACACCGGUGGCGAAGGCGGUUCUCUGGGAAUGUCCUGACGCUGAGGAGCGAAAGUGUGGGGAGCGAACAGG